RNAcentral lists this ribosomal RNA (497 nucleotides) under uncultured bacterium. RNAcentral's name for it is "partial 16S ribosomal RNA". It matches the Rfam family "Bacterial small subunit ribosomal RNA", at positions 28 to 507 of the family's 1533-position model. The record is from RNAcentral.
GAUGAACGCUGGCGGCGUGCCUAAUACAUGCAAGUCGAGCGAACAGAUAAGGAGCUUGCUCCUUUGACGUUAGCGGCGGACGGGUGAGUAACACGUGGGUAACCUACCUAUAAGACGGGGAUAACUUCGGGAAACCGGAGCUAAUACCGGAUAACAUUUGGAACCGCAUGGUUCUAAAGUGAAAGAUGGUUUUGCUAUCACUUAUAGAUGGACCCGCGCCGUAUUAGCUAGUUGGUAAGGUAACGGCUUACCAAGGCAACGAUACGUAGCCGACCUGAGAGGGUGGUCGGCCACACUGGAACUGAGACAGGGUCCAGACUCCUACGGGAGGCAGCAGUAGGGAAUCUUACGCAAUGGGCGAAAGCCUGACGGAGCAACGCCGCGUGAGUGAUGAAGGGUUUCGGCUCGUAAAACUCUGUUAUUAGGGAAGAACAAACGUGUAAGUAACUGUGCACGUCUUGACGGUACCUAAUCAGAAAGCCACGGCUAACUACGUG